GGGAUUUAAUCAGUUUACGAUUUGAGUGUAAAUUAAGAUAAAGCAUAGAUCAACAAAAGGAAUAAGCUCAAAGCGGAAAGUUCACGACAAAUUUAAGAAGCCAAUUCAGAUUCACACAUAGCGAAUCAAAACGAGAAACAAGAUUUAUUCUUAACUUAACACGUGGAAUUAAAAUGGGGAAAGGAGACUUCUGUUGUAAACAAGCAAAUAAGGAUCCAUCAUCGCUCUGAACAAGAACCGGUUACUUACCAUUCAAGCAAACCAGAACCCUUCAAUUUCUCUACCACCAAUCCAUCUAUUCGAGCUGCCAUCUCCAGAGUCGGGUAGUUCUGCCAAUCUCCGACCUCACCCUUCCUGAAAUACGCACUAUUAGCAUAGCUACAAGGACGGUCCUCCAUAUCUUUCUCCAUAUAUUGUAUUAAUAAUUUUUUUUAAAUUUAUAAUUUUUAGUUGUUGUUUAGUAUGUAUAAUAAAAUUAUUCAAUAAUUUAUUUAUAGAUAUUGAUAAGUAAUUGGUUACAACUAAUACUGAAAUUAUCUAUAUUUAUUUACAUAUAUGAAACACAUAAAUAUUUUACAUUAAUAUUAAAUGAUAAAAAAAUUGUAUGGAAAUUUUAUCUUUAUGAAAACAUUAUUUACUUAAUUAUUAAUUAAUUAAAAUAUAGUAUUUUAUAUAAAAUAAAAAAAAUUUGUUUUUGUAUUGAAAACCACAAAAGUUGGUUUUUGCUUUUCUUCACAAACUGGUUGAAAUUUUGAAAAAAAUAGUUUUCCUGAAUUUUAGGGAAUCUAUUUGUUUAAAAACUUGAUUGGCAAGUGAAAUGGUUUUUACAAAAAUAAAAAAUAAUAGUUAAAAACUUGAUUGGAUAAAAAAUGGUUUUUACAAAAGCAAAAACCAAAAACUAAAACAAAACCUACAAACACGUGAAAUUAAAAUGAGAAAAGGAGUCAACUUCUGUUGUAUAAGAAACAAUAUAAUGGAUCCAUCAUCACCACUCGGAACAAGAACCGGUUACAUACCAUUCAAGCAAACCGGAACCCUUCAAUUUCUCUACCAUCAAUCCAUCGAUUCGAGCUGCCAUCUCCGGAGUCAGGUAGUUCUGCCAAUCUCCGAUCUCACCCUUCCUGAAAAACGCACUAUUCGCAAAACUAGAAGGACGGAUCUCCAUAUUCUUCUCCCCUUGGUUGGAUUCAAGAUUCUUCAACGUAUCGAAACUACAAAGAUUCACAACUUUAUCAACAAUCCCUUCCUUGUCUUCCUCAGCUGUGAAUCCAUAACCCAUAAAUCCUUUUUUUAAAAAGAAAAAUGGAAAACCCCUGGUUGACUGUAGCGCUUGCUCCCCCUCUGAAACCUCCGACUCCGGCUGGCAAUCUCAGCCAUUCGCCGCCCCAGCCCGAUCCCCCUGACCCUCCCGACCCUCUCCAAUUUCCCCCUCUCCCUUCUCCUCUCUCUGGUGGCCAAAAACCCCCAAAACGUCGCACUUUCUCUCCACUCCCCCUCAUUUCCACUGUUCCCC
Molecule: long non-coding RNA, 1513 nt
Filed under: Brassica napus (rape)
Lineage: Eukaryota; Viridiplantae; Streptophyta; Magnoliopsida; Brassicales; Brassicaceae
Description: long non-coding RNA (BNAP_LNC007585)
Source: RNAcentral